CACGUAGGGUGCGAGCGUUGUCCGGAAUUAUUGGGCGUAAAGAGCUCGUAGGCGGUGUGUCGCGUCGGCCGUGAAAACCUGCAGCUUAACUGUGGGCGUGCGGUCGAUACGGGCAUCACUGGAGUUCGGCAGGGGAGACUGGAAUUCCUGGUGUAGCGGUGAAAUGCGCAGAUAUCAGGAGGAACACCGGUGGCGAAGGCGGGUCUCUGGGCCGAUACUGACGCUGAGGCGCGAAAGCGUGGGUAGCAAACAGG
RNAcentral lists this ribosomal RNA (254 nucleotides) under uncultured bacterium. RNAcentral describes it as "partial 16S ribosomal RNA". It matches the Rfam family "Bacterial small subunit ribosomal RNA", at positions 524 to 776 of the family's 1533-position model. The record is from RNAcentral.